Molecule: long non-coding RNA, 485 nt
Organism: Myiozetetes cayanensis
Lineage: Eukaryota; Metazoa; Chordata; Aves; Passeriformes; Tyrannidae
Exons: 4
Source: RefSeq, a predicted model, not a curated record
ACAGGAACUGCACUCCAGCACCGAGUGCUGGGAGGAGAAACUCAAGGGAGACAGCAGCCAGCACUUCCCAAAGGCAACACCACUCCCGCCAGCAGCGUCGGACCUCAAAUUCAUCCAGAGGAUCCAGAAGUCGCCGUGACACGAGCCGCGUUAGAACACCCAGUGCUGAGAGCCCCACUCACCGCUCAGACGGUGAGACAGGGACCCACCACUGAAACGUUCUACGUCAGACAGGGAGGAGGAGGCCCCCAAAGUGAGGGAGAGAGCAUGCCUGUUGUGCCAGCGAUCAGACACUGACCCGGACAUCUGCGAAGAGGAAACUUUGUGCCCACGAGUUCUGCCUGGUUUUGCCAACCAUUUCCUCAGCACCCCCUGGGUCAAGUAGGACUCCAGGGCUUUCUGCCAAGGAAUAUCCUAGAUGUAGUCUCCCGGGCGGCACAGAAGGGACAGGCUCUGCGCUCUGGUGUUUCAUCCCUCCAGUGCCC